UGUGUGUGUGUGUGUGUGUGUAUAUCUAUAUCUAUAUCUAUAUAUGUAUAGAUACACACACACACACACACACACA
Molecule: microRNA precursor, 76 nt
Filed under: Podarcis lilfordi (Lilford's wall lizard)
Lineage: Eukaryota; Metazoa; Chordata; Lepidosauria; Squamata; Lacertidae
Source: RNAcentral